RNAcentral lists this ribosomal RNA (640 nucleotides) under uncultured bacterium. RNAcentral describes it as "bacterial SSU rRNA". It matches the Rfam family "Bacterial small subunit ribosomal RNA", at positions 8 to 659 of the family's 1533-position model. The record is from RNAcentral.
AGAGUUUGAUCAUGGCUCAGGACGAACGCUGGCGGCGUGCUUAACACAUGCAAGUCAGGGGGUGGGGCAACCCAUCACCGGCGAACGGGUGCGUAACACGUGAGCGACCUGCCUUCGAGUGGGGGAUAGCCGGCCCAACGGCCGGGUAAUACCGCAUACGACCAUGCCGGGGCAUCCCGGGGUGGUGAAACCACUUGGGCUCGGAGAGGGGCUCGCGGCCUAUCAGCUAGUUGGCGAGGUAACGGCUCACCAAGGCGAUGACGGGUAGCUGGUCUGAGAGGAUGGCCAGCCACAUUGGGACUGAGAGACGGCCCAGACUCCUACGGGAGGCAGCAGUGGGGAAUCUUGCGCAAUGGCCGAAAGGCUGACGCAGCGACGCCGCGUGGGGGAUGAAGGCCUUCGGGUUGUAAACCCCUGUUGCCCGGGACGAACAGCGCCAUUCGUGGCGCCUGACGGUACCGGGUGAGGAAGCACCGGCUAACUCUGUGCCAGCAGCCGCGGUAAUACAGAGGGUGCGAGCGUUGUCCGGAAUCACUGGGCGUAAAGGGCGCGUAGGCGGCCCCUUAAGCGUGUCGUGAAAGCGCGGGGCUCAACCCCGCGUCGGCGAUGCGAACUGGGGGGCUGGAGCACGUCAGAGGCA